RNAcentral lists this long non-coding RNA (630 nucleotides) under Physcomitrium patens. RNAcentral's name for it is "long non-coding RNA (PPAT_LNC010276)". The record is from RNAcentral. Lineage: Eukaryota; Viridiplantae; Streptophyta; Bryopsida; Funariales; Funariaceae.
GUAGGGUUUAGGAUUUGGUUAGGGUUUGGUUUAGGGUUUAGGAUUUGUAUUAGGAUUUGAUUUAGGAUUUGGUUAGAAUUUGAUUUAGGAUUUAGGAUUUAGUUUAAGGUUUAGUUAGGGUUUGAUUAGGGUUUAGUUUAGGAUUUGAUUGAGGUUUAGUUUAAAGUUUUUUUAGGAUUUGAUUUAGGAUUUGGUUUAUGGUUUGAUUAGGAUUUUAUUUAGGAUCUGGAUUAGGAUUUGAUUUAGGAUUUAGGAUUUAGAUUAGAAUUUGGUUAGGGUUUGAUUUAGGAUUUGGUUAGGAUUUGGUUAGGGUUUGAUUAGGGUUUGGUUAGGAUUUGGUUUAGAAUUUGGUUGGAAUUUGGUCUAAGGUUUGUUUAGGAUUUGAUUUAGGGUUUAGGAUUUUAUUAUGAUUUAAGAUUUAAUUAGUAUUGGUCUAAAGUUUGAAUAAAGUUCAAUAGGAUUUUAACUAGAAUUAAAUUAAGAUUGAAUUGAGAUGUAUUUGAAUGAUAUUUGUUAUCUUUCUAAUAUUCUUUUAAGAAUUUUUAUUGUUUGUUUGAAAUUACUUGAGGUUUUUUUGAAUUUGAUUGAAGCUUACUUAGCAUUAUUAUGAUCUAAUUAGAGUUUAAUUAG